RNAcentral lists this long non-coding RNA (1373 nucleotides) under Vulpes vulpes (red fox). RNAcentral's name for it is "lncRNA (ENSVVUG00000026318.1)". Lineage: Eukaryota; Metazoa; Chordata; Mammalia; Carnivora; Canidae. The record is from RNAcentral.
GACAAAAUCUAAAGGCUGAGCGGGGGUGAAUAUGAUGAUCUGGGUGUUCUGGGUUCAGAAGAAAGUAAAUUAUGCAAGAUGAAUCCGGAAACCUUGAUCCACAAGAAAGCAGGGACAUCAUCAAAAACCCUGACGCCAAGGAAGUGAGGUCGGCACAGUCGGGCAGGUAUGUUCUGUGACCGCUGAUAGCCCUGAGCUUCAGGGAAAGUCCAAACAAGGAUCACUUCAGUGCUCUGCCUGGAGCGCGCUGAGGCUCAAGUGUCACAGGCUAGCAGUGCACGACACUCGUGUCAGAGCAUCAUGGCUGGAGUUGGGGUCUUCUCAGGGCCUCCACAGCACGACACUGUAACCAUGAAAAGGACAUCGAGCCAGAAGUCAGAUAAUGAGGAUUCUAUACCUAACUACCUACUCAGGGGCCAGGUGAUCCAUCAAGGGAUGAUGACCAGUGCCAUCUGUGACUUGCUCUCUCCCAUACAGUAUAAGGAUAACAGCACCCCAGGCUUGGCAUAAUUUCGUUUAGCCUGCAAAACCAGAACGAAACAAAACAAGAACAAAAACCAAUCACCCACGACCGAAAAGAGAGGUGAAUUACAGAAAGGGUCUGGCUUUAGACCGAUUCAGUGUAUUAAAAUCUGUACGUAAACCAAAGAUAAAUGAGAAGACAGUUAUUCACUUUACUUUAGAAAUAUCUGAUAUAGGAAAUGAUGCAUUUUAAAAGCUCACUUCCAUAAAACGUUCAAAGCACAAUUCAAUUUGCAAAUAUUGAUUUAAAAUACACCUAUGGCGAGGCCUGAGGUACGGCUGCAUUUUAAAACCCACUAAGGGGCUUUGUACACAAUUUAGGCUAAUACGGUAAAGAAAUAGUACAUCACGCUGGGAUUGAUUGUUCCAGGCAAGUCCAGUCACUACUGUUUACAUGAGGCUGCUCCAAGGAAAACCAGAAUCUUCCACCUGCCUGGGAAGAGCGAGAACUUCCCGCCCGUUGCUGUUGCAGCGGGAGGCUGCUGGGCCUUGAGUCUGACCCGGGCGGAGCACGACCAGGUUCAGGAGGACCCGGUGCCCCGGGCUCCAGCCCCCGGUGAAGGCCGUGGGAGGCCCCAGCGCGCGGCCGCUCUCCUGGGGAGAACCACAGCCCUUUAGUCUAAAGCUCCGGGAACGCGAGCGGCGGAGCUCCCGCUCCAGUCUGAGCUGGUUGGGGGCGAGGUUGUGGCCAUCGGUGGGCGGUGUGUGCUGGGCAGUCGGGCCGGCCCGGGCGCGGUCAGCACCGGGCGGUCCCCGCGGUCAGCACCUGGGGGGUCCCCGCGGUCAGCACCUGGGCGGUCCCCGCGGUCAGCACCUGGGCCGUCCCCGCGGUCAGCACCGGGCGGUCCCCG